CCCUUAGAUGUUCUGGGCCGCACACGCGCUACACUGAAGGAGGCAGCGUGUACUCCUGGAUCGAAAGAUUUGGGUAACCCGCGAAUCUCCUUCGUGCUAGGGAUUGAGGUUUGCAAUUAUCCUUCAUGAACGAGGAAUUCCCAGUAAGUGCAAGUCAUAAGCUUGCGCUGACUACGUCCCUGCCCUUUGUACACACCGCCCGUCGCUACUACCGAUUGAAUGAUUUAGUGAGGACUUCGGACUGGGGCCGAUGCGGCUUUCGGGCUGCGUCGGUAUUCUGGAAAGAUGUCCAAACUGUAUCAUUUAGAGGAAGUAAAANUCGUAACA
This 327-nucleotide ribosomal RNA is filed under the name uncultured eukaryote. Its description in RNAcentral is "partial 18S ribosomal RNA". It matches the Rfam family "Eukaryotic small subunit ribosomal RNA", at positions 1470 to 1796 of the family's 1831-position model. The record is from RNAcentral.